This 41-nucleotide ribosomal RNA is filed under the name Fonsecaea pedrosoi. RNAcentral describes it as "partial 18S ribosomal RNA". Lineage: Eukaryota; Fungi; Ascomycota; Eurotiomycetes; Chaetothyriales; Herpotrichiellaceae. The record is from RNAcentral.
AUCCCUUCCCGUUAAGGGAACCUGCGGAAGGAUCAUUAAUG